RNAcentral lists this ribosomal RNA (468 nucleotides) under uncultured bacterium. RNAcentral's name for it is "partial 16S ribosomal RNA". It matches the Rfam family "Bacterial small subunit ribosomal RNA", at positions 28 to 507 of the family's 1533-position model. The record is from RNAcentral.
GACGAACGCUGGCGGCGUGCUUAACACAUGCAAGUCGAACGGAAAGGCCCUGCUUUUGUGGGGUGCUCGAGUGGCGAACGGGUGAGUAACACGUGAGUAACCUGCCCUUGACUUUGGGAUAACUUCAGGAAACUGGGGCUAAUACCGGAUAGGAGCUCCUACUGCAUGGUGGGGGUUGGAAAGUUUCGGCGGUUGGGGAUGGACUCGCGGCUUAUCAGCUUGUUGGUGGGGUAGUGGCUUACCAAGGCUUUGACGGGUAGCCGGCCUGAGAGGGUGACCGGCCACAUUGGGACUGAGAUACGGCCCAGACUCCUACGGGAGGCAGCAGUGGGGAAUAUUGCACAAUGGGCGGAAGCCUGAUGCAGCAACGCCGCGUGCGGGAUGACGGCAUUCGGGUUGUAUACCGCUUUCGCCUGUGACGAAGCGUGAGUGACGGUAAUGGGUAAAGAAGCACCGGCUAACUACGUG